UCCACCUGGUAUAUACAUACUGUGUGUUUAAACACCAGACAGUCACCAUAAAAGUGUUCAAACUUCACUAUCUGCACUUCAAACCCUCCCUCAGAUAAGACUCAGUCUCAAAUCAGAGCGCUGCAUUCAACAUCUACUUUACUGCCGGGAUCACCUGUGUUCUUUGAGAGUUGCUUCUGAAUUGUGAAUUUCUUCAUUGCAGUGGGGAUGGAUGACUCAAGUUUAGUAUUUACGAUCAUUGCACCUAUUGGUAUCCUUAUUUUUUUGACGGUCUUCUUUGUUGGCUGCUGUACAAUAUUCCAGCGAGUCUGUAAGAAGCGAGAUGAGCAUGUGCAGACUCAAGUUCAAGCCGUGGAUCCGCCCUCUGUUUACGUCAUUCCGAUCUCUAUGUCCGAAGAUGAGCUGCACAGACCACCGCGCUACAGCACAGUACAGUUCUACGAGCCGCCUCCUGCUUAU
Carassius auratus (goldfish) is the source of this 459-nucleotide long non-coding RNA. RefSeq lists it as uncharacterized. NCBI's taxonomy places the organism in Eukaryota, Metazoa, Chordata, Actinopteri, Cypriniformes, Cyprinidae. The transcript has 3 exons. The record is from RefSeq and is a predicted model, not a curated record.